This 1158-nucleotide long non-coding RNA is filed under the name Rattus norvegicus (Norway rat). Its description in RNAcentral is "long non-coding RNA NONRATT023250". The record is from RNAcentral. Lineage: Eukaryota; Metazoa; Chordata; Mammalia; Rodentia; Muridae.
CAGGGUUAGUUCUUUUUCUGAUCUCUUGUAUACUUUAAAACCCAGAGAUAAAACAUUACGUGUUAAAAGCAUACUUACCUGUGAAUUUUUGGUAAUUUAGUUUAUAGAAAGGAUCCCUAGAUCUUUUAUUAAGCCUUGACUCACAUAUUUAGCAUUAUAUAAAGUAUUAGGAGCAUAUAUGCAUUGUUGCUUAAUUUAACUUUUCUCUAUGAGUAACUGGCAUGUUACGAGGCAGCCUAAACAUGUUUUAAGUUGCAUUAGUUCUCUCGUUCUAUUUCAUUAUUCAGUGAGCAACUUGAGUAGUUUCAUGUUGGAUUUCCUUGUGUCUUUAUUUAACAGAUGACUUGCAUAUAAUUUCCUUUUCCUGAAAAUAGUAGUUAGGGAAAUAAGAGCUUAAAUAUGCCUGGCAAUGGGAAAACAUAUGUAAAUCUAGCCUGGGGGAGGGGGCGUGUUCUAUUUAAGAAUACACCAAUGACUGGGGAAUAUUUUCAGUUUUCUCUCAAAUAUUUGCUAUUAGGUGAGAGUAACCACUCAGUCCGAUUCUUCUGGAAUGUAAUCAUUCUCUCAGUUUGUUGAAUGCUCAGUGGGUGUGGCACUCGCCCAGGUCAUUAGACUCUUUGCUGCUUCAUCGAAUGCCCUGGGCCCUCAGCCCCGGAAGAGAGAAUGCAGCUUCUCCACAUGCCUUAUUCCCCCUGAGGCAUCGACAUGCUGGAACAGUCUGACUCCAAGUACUAAUACAGUUUUUUUGAGACUGUCUACAAAAUACUAUUUUGUUAAAACUAUGCCUUUAAAUAGACACUGAUGGGUUAUAUUUGUUUUAUAAAAAGUUGUAUACCUAAUGUUCAACUGUGGUUGAUUUUGAGAUUAUAUAUAAAUGUAUAUUUAUAAGCCUGUCUUAUGUGGAUUUUUACUCUAAGAAGUGUGGCGCAUUACUAAUAAAGAUAUGGGUUUCUGUUUCUGUAAAGUCAUUGUAGCAACACUCCUAACUGCUACCUGAACGAUGAUUCCACUCACUGGCCACCAUACAUACUUUUAUCUAUAGAAUAUUAAGUUAUACUCAGAAUGUAUUAACCAGGAUGAAACUUUAAGAACGGAAACUCUCAACAUAAUUUGAAAUUCUUCCUGUUGAUGUAAUUAAAACUAGUUUAUAAUUCCUUA